RNAcentral lists this transfer RNA (76 nucleotides) under Aeromicrobium sp. Its description in RNAcentral is "tRNA-Phe". It matches the Rfam family "tRNA". From Rfam's summary of the family: Transfer RNA (tRNA) molecules are approximately 80 nucleotides in length. Their secondary structure includes four short double-helical elements and three loops (D, anti-codon, and T loops). The record is from RNAcentral. RNAcentral also lists the same sequence under 2 other names. Lineage: Bacteria; Bacillati; Actinomycetota; Actinomycetes; Propionibacteriales; Nocardioidaceae.
GGCCAGGUAGCUCAGAUGGUAGAGCAGGGGACUGAAAAUCCCCGUGUCGGCGGUUCAAGUCCGUCUCUGGCCACCA